RNAcentral lists this ribosomal RNA (400 nucleotides) under phytoplankton environmental sample. RNAcentral describes it as "partial small subunit ribosomal RNA". It matches the Rfam family "Eukaryotic small subunit ribosomal RNA", at positions 587 to 986 of the family's 1831-position model. The record is from RNAcentral.
AGCUCCAUUAGCGUAUAUUAAAGUUGUUGCAGUUAAAAAGCUCGUAGUUGGAUUUCGGUUCGGGUCGGGGCGGUGGCGUCGCGAGACGUCUACCUCCCGGCCAGUCUCUCUUCCCGAAGACUGCGUGUGCUCUUCAGUGGGUGCGCGUCGGGACUCGGGACGUUUACUUUGAAAAAAUUAGAGUGUUCAAAGCAGGCAUUCAUCGUGCCCGAAUACAUGAGCAUGGAAUAAUAGAAUAGGACCUGGUCUUAUUUUGUUGGUUUGUAUAAUUUCAGGUAAUGAUUAACAGGGACGGUUGGGGGCAUUUGUAUUCCGAGGCGAGAGGUGAAAUUCUUAGACCCUCGGAAGACAAACAGCUGCGAAAGCGUUUGCCAAGGACGUUUUCAUUGAUCAAGAACGA